RNAcentral lists this unclassified non-coding RNA (235 nucleotides) under Ascomycota sp. RNAcentral's name for it is "partial contains small subunit ribosomal RNA, internal transcribed spacer 1, and 5.8S ribosomal RNA". The stretch from base 1 to 47 matches the Rfam family "Eukaryotic small subunit ribosomal RNA", at positions 1785 to 1831 of the family's 1831-position model. Lineage: Eukaryota; Fungi; Ascomycota. The record is from RNAcentral.
AAAGUCGUAACAAGGUCUCCGUUGGUGAACCAGCGGAGGGAUCAUUAUAGAGUCUAAACAACUCCCAAACCCCUGUGAACAUACCACCGUUGCUUCGGCGGGUACGCCCCGGGCGCCAUCGCGUGCCCCGGAACCAGGCGCCCGCCGGGGGACUUCAAACUCUUGUUUUACCAUGUAUCGUCUGAGUGGAUUAUUAAAUAAAUCAAAACUUUCAACAACGGAUCUCUUGGCUCUG